Non-coding RNA from Cinara cedri, 212 nucleotides. NCBI's taxonomy places the organism in Eukaryota, Metazoa, Arthropoda, Insecta, Hemiptera, Aphididae. The record is from the annotation of a GenBank genome assembly.
GCCCAUCAUCGCGUACGUACAUGUGUACUUUCCGAAUAUUAUUAAUCCGCAAAACAAACAACCCGUCGUCGCCGCCGGAAGUGCAUACCUCAUCGUGAUAAUCGCAGGAUAUGCAGAGUGGAGGAAACGUAUAUGAGUGGGCAAUGUUAUUGUUGUUGCGCGAGAAACACUGAAAGUCGGACAAGCCACUGUCAUAUCCGAGUUCGUCGGCG